CAGUCCCACCCCCAAGGCCUGCCCUAAGAGUCUGAGACAGGAGAACACACGUCUACAGAGAGCCUGCCUAGAGUCUGGAUUUUUUAAGCUGCUGGAUACCAGGUGCUACCUGACACCAGCUCAUCCCCUGCCUCUAGAGUCCUGGAGGGCUUUGAGUUGAUCACUUUCCACUCCAGGAAUGUUAUAAGAAACCGCUCAGAAAGGUGAUUGCAAAUCUAUGGAUGAGACCAAGGGAGAAUUUUCACGCCAUCAUAGCAUUUUAUUCCUCACCUGACUGGGAGCAGCUCGAAGGGAAGGACAUGUCUCCAAAGACAUGAGGAGUAUUCAACGUGGCAUUCGAGGCGCAAGGAAAAACCUGCCUAUCCCAAGAUCUCAGCCCCAUCAGCCAGCCAAGGGAUCCACAAUGACCCUUAUGAAGUUUCAUAAGGAAGCUAAUUGCUUAAAUGAGAUUUGAGUCAAGAAGGAUGACCUAGCAAUAACCUCUAUAUAUCUCAUUAUGCCAAAACUUAAAUGGCUACAUAAGAGGACAGUCCAGUGACAGACAUGGAAAGAGGCUUAGAGGUCAUCUCAUUCAUCACACCAUUUUACAGAGGAAAGCAAAAUGCCAUCCAGAGAAGGAAAGUCACAAAGCCAUCUAACCCCAGACCUGGGAGUAGCAGCUGAUCACAGCGGGUCGGACACAAGAAGCUGCUUCCAAAAAUCUUUCCUUCCAUUUGUCCUACAGAGAAGACAUCAGAAAACAAAAUUUUAUAAGCAUGUCUCUAGCUCUAACUCACUAUUCAACUAAAGGACAAAUUAAAUAGGGAAUGAGAUAACCUUAACUUCAUGAGAUUUGUUCUUAUAUGCAGUUUUCUACCCUGAGAAACCAAUCUAUGCUAAAGAUAAUAUUUGUGCUUUUCAAUGAGGCUGGUAAAAUAUUUGCACUUUGAAGCUCAGAGCGAUAACAUUUAUUCAUUCGGGUGAAACUUAUCAGGAUUAGGUAAAUAUAAUCGAAGCAAAACAAAAAUGAUUUGGGAAACUUUGUGACCAAAACCAACAGGCGUAUUCAGUACUCCUUUGAAGGUCACCUAAUUCUAAUAACAUUUAUAUUUAUAAAUGUCCUCUAAGUCUUUUAUCUUCUGCAAAUAAAUUAUUUCUCACAAUUA
This is a long non-coding RNA of Homo sapiens (human), 1145 nucleotides long. RefSeq lists it as uncharacterized. The transcript has 3 exons. The record is from RefSeq and is a predicted model, not a curated record. NCBI's taxonomy places the organism in Eukaryota, Metazoa, Chordata, Mammalia, Primates, Hominidae.